GAUGAACGCUGGCGGCGUGCCUAAUACAUGCAAGUCGAGCGAACAGACGAGGAGCUUGCUCCUCUGACGUUAGCGGCGGACGGGUGAGUAACACGUGGAUAACCUACCUAUAAGACUGGGAUAACUUCGGGAAACCGGAGCUAAUACCGGAUAAUAUAUUGAACCGCAUGGUUCAAUAGUGAAAGACGGUUUUGCUGUCAUUUAUAGAUGGAUCCGCGCCGCAUUAGCUAGUUGGUAAGGUAACGGCUUACCAAGGCAACGAUGCGUAGCCGACCUGAGAGGGUUAACGGCCACACUGGAACUGAGACACGGUCCAGACUCCUACGGGAGGCAGCAGUAGGGAAGCUUCCGCAAUGGGCGAAAGCCUGACGGAGCAACGCCGCAUGAGUGAUGAAGGUCUUCGGAUCGUAAAACUCUGUUAUUAGGGAAGAACAAAUGUGUAAGUAACUAUGCACGUCUUGACGGUACCUAAUCAGAAAGCCACGGCUAACUACGUG
This 497-nucleotide ribosomal RNA is filed under the name uncultured bacterium. Its description in RNAcentral is "partial 16S ribosomal RNA". It matches the Rfam family "Bacterial small subunit ribosomal RNA", at positions 28 to 507 of the family's 1533-position model. The record is from RNAcentral.